GAAGAUAUGCUGAAAGCUUUGUAUGCAUGCUUGUGUGCACAGGCACCUAUGCACACAAAUGAGAAAAGCAGAAGCAGGGAGAAUGACCACAGGGUGCAAGCUAUUAGAGUCCAGGUUUUACCAUGUCACCUAGGCUGCAGUGCACAACAUAGCUGCAUUUCCCAUCAAUGUUUAUGUGUGGACACUAACAUUUAAGUUUCAUGUAUAUUCACAUGACAGGAAAAACUUUUUUUUUAAAUUUUGAUUUCUAAAAACACUUUAAGGCUGGGUAAGGUGGUUCAGACCUGUAAUCCCAGCACUUUAAGAUGCCGAGGUGGGAAGAUCUCCUGAGCCCAGGAGUUGGAGACUAGCCUAGCAACACAGUGAUAUCUUAUCUUUACAAAAACUUAAAAAAUUAGCCACGUUUGGUGGUGUGCACUUGUAGUCUCAGCCCAGGAGGUCGAGGCUGAAGUGAAAAUACAAUCCCAGCCUGGACAACAGAAUGAGACCCUAUCUUUAAAAAAACAAAAACAAAAACAAACAAACAAAAAAAAAAACAAACAAAAACAAAGAACAAAAGUAAGAUGUAAAAUCAUUCUUAGCUUGUGGAUUCUAGAAUACUGGCAGGAUUUGGGUCAUAGGCUGCAGUUUGUGCACUUGUGAUGGAAAAACCAAACCCAAAAAGCCCGGAUAGGGAAGGGAUUUAAUGUCACAAAACAUGGUGGAGGAGAACACACAGUGCAAAAUACAAAAGAAUCCAUGCACGUGUGCACCCAGAGUGGACUCCAUCUCAAAAAAAAAAAAAAAAAUCCCCCCCAAAAUUCUUAAGAAGACUUUCUUUCCAGAAGAACAUCGACAUCCCUCACCACCAACCCAUGUAUUAAAAGCACACAUACUUAACUGAGUUUUUAAAAGGAGCCUCAGUCAAAUUGUAAUACUUGAAACAAUUUAUUCACCGUUUCCAACAGUGACACAGUUUCCAGUUUCCUGGAGGGUCAGAAACACUUGGAAACUAAAUGAUGAAUUAACUGGCAUGUGUCUACUCUGAGCCCUAGGAGGGCCCAUAGGAGACGCCCUCUGCUCGUUGGCUGUCCAACACCCAUGACCAUGAAUGUAUACCCUUGUGUCUGGAGGGCAUUCAUAUUAGCCUAUACAAUCAUGCCACACGUGCAUUUGCUACCCCAUGGUCAUCAUAUGGGCUUAGAGAAAUAGAACUUAUAAGAAUCAUCAAAUACAGUCAUCAAGUUGCUCAACCACCUUGAACUAUAAGUGGUUCUGUGAAGUGUGACUCUCUUAACCAUCUGCCCUGAAUGCCAGACUCCAGUGAGGCACAACCGUGCAAUAAGGCAUAACUAUGCAAAGGUAUCCCAGUGGUAGAGAUACUUAGUGUUUUCGUUACUAGUGAUAAGGUACACAGUUUUGUUACUAAAGGGCUGACAAGACCCACCCACUUUUACUUCUAAUGCGACUUCUAUGAGGAGGUAAGAAAGCCAAUGCCAACAAGUCCCCUCAUGUAACUUGGUUUGUGUAUGUAGUCAGGCAGGGGAUCAAGCGUUCUUUUUGAAGACUAUGCCUCUUAGCAGCACACCUGAUUGACAGUCACUGAGAAUACUUCAGAGGCUCAGGGUGAGAAGAGAUGGACAGCGAUGGGGGAUGGGAAACUAGACUCCCACUCUGUCUUCAGGCAGCAGAUGGCUCAUUAAAACUACCGGAAAUGUCCAGGCGCGGUGGCUCAAGCCUGUCGUCCCAACACUUUGGGAGGCUGAGGCGGGUGGAUCAAUUGAGGUCAGGAGUUCGACCAGCCUGAUCAACAUGGUGAAACCCCGUCUCUACUAAAAAUACAAAAAAUUAGCCUGGCGUGGUGGCGGGCGCCUGUAGUCCCAGCUACUCGGGAGGCUGAGGCAGGAGAAUGGCGUGAACCCGGGAGUCGGAGCUUCCAGUGAGCCCAGACGGCGCCACUGCACUCCAGCCUGGGCGACAGAGCGACACUCCGUCUCAAAAAAAAUAAAAAAUAAAAUUAAAAAAAUGCAAAUACAAACACAAAAAUUAGCCGGGUGCCGGCAGAUGCCUGUAGUCCCAGCUACUCCAGAGGCUGAGGCAGGAAAAUCGCUUGAACCCUGGAGGCAGAGGUUGCAGUGAGCUGAGAUCGAGCCACUGGACUCCAGCCUGGGCGAGAGACCAAGACUCCGUCUCAAAAACAAAAACAAAAACAAAAAAAAAGAAACCACCGGAAAAAAAAAACAAAACUCCGCGGGUGCAUCUGUCCAGCUGCAUUUACAAAAACUAGUAUAGCCAAGACCUGGGAGCCUUUUGUGGAGGCAUUGAAUUCUCCUAAUUAGAUUUCAUGACAUACCUCCUCCAAAAUAGCUGAACACCUAACAACACCAAACACGCUUUUUAAAAAGUCAAAGUAAAUUAACUUUUCCCCUGAAAAUGUAGGGAAUAAAGAAAGUUUCCCAAACUCAAACUCAGACAACUCGGGUAGAUAUCUAAGACGAAUGCUCGUGUCAAACAUCUGUAUUUAUAACUUCGUUGGAACUGUUACAGUAGGUUAUAUGAAUUAGUGGAGGACAAGACUGUUUUAAAUGCCUUCUUUUCAUACAUAGCAUUUAACAUUAAGUAUUUAAUGUAAUUUGUUUGACAAAUUUUUCUUACCUUUUUAAUUGUUGAUGUGGAAUGUAAGAAUGCUUGUAAUAAUGCUGAAGCCAGAGGGAUGGCUUUCCUUUCAUACACGUGGAAAUUUAAUUCUUUGGGGGAUAUUGGAAGACACUGGAUGAGAAACAGUUCUAUUCAUUCCUUUUAGUGUACACAGAUUAAGUCAAAUACAUACAACAUUUUAGGGAGUAGGAACUGUUGAACUAUUUGUUGAGUAAAUAGUAUGUAUUUUCAAACACAGUUAAGUUUUUUCUAAUUUGAGGCCAUAUCACUGACUAUCUUAUCCCUUCAAUGGAAGCCAUGUUACAUAGUCUGUUGUUAAAUGGGUCACUACCCAGUGAAAAAAUAUAUUUCAUGACAUAAGACUGCCAAUCUUUUUUGGUCUUUGCUCCAUCUUGACCUUAAGAUGUUCAUCAACCCAUUUUAUCCAAGCAAAGUACAUUAGACUGUUGGACCUGCUAAAAUAAUAUUUCACUGAAAUCUGGCAUUAAAAAAUUUAAGUGGGUAUUUGGAGCUCCAUGUAAUGAUUACAGUUUUUUUUCAAUUUGAAAUAAAUAAGCGUCCUUUGAAUACUAAAAGCUGUUUCCUUUUGACAUUUAAUUAACCCUGUUUAAAACGUGAGAUGUAAAGUGGUGGUUUGCUAGUGGACUAGACUUUUUCUUUUAGGCUGCCAAGGGCUUUGAAGAGGAUUAUCACAAAGUUUUGUGUCAGAAACUGUAAGUAGUGCAUAUUUAAUCUUAAAAACUCAGGAUUGAUGUAAGCACUGGAAUACUUUAUUUGCAGAAAUGUGUAUCACAUUACUUAAUUUUUUUUUGAAACAGCUGUAGGAAGAGUUAGCACUUAUUCAGUUGUCUCUUCAACCUCUGUUAUUCUGAUGACCGAAGAAAUAACUUGAACCUACUUUCUAUGAUACAAGCAUAACUUGAGCUACACUAAACCAUGACAAUGUUUUGAUAAUUCUGUAAUCAGUAUAUAUCAUCUAUUAUUUGUCUGUUAGUUAAGUGCCAGACCUCAUUUCUGUGAUCUGUUAAACAUUAAAUAUAAUUUAGUUUUAGGUUUAGCCUGUGAACCUUCAUCAGUUCCAAAAAUGUAGAAAAUACAGUCAUGGAAAAGUACAUUUUUCUCUAAUAAAAAAAGAUAAAAGAGUGAUGCCUCUUAAAAUGUGUCUGUACAUUGUCUUUAAAAAAUCCAGA
This 3827-nucleotide long non-coding RNA is filed under the name Homo sapiens (human). RNAcentral describes it as "HSALNT0287980". Lineage: Eukaryota; Metazoa; Chordata; Mammalia; Primates; Hominidae. The record is from RNAcentral.